AGCCUACGGGAGGCAGCAGUGGGGAAUAUUGCACAAUGGGGGAAACCCUGAUGCAGCGACGCCGCGUGAAAGAAGAAGUAUUUCGGUAUGUAAACUUCUAUCAGCAGGGAAGAAAAUGACGGUACCUGACUAAGAAGCCCCGGCUAACUACGUGCCAGCAGCCGCGGUAAUACGUAGGGGGCAAGCGUUAUCCGGAUUUACUGGGUGUAAAGGGAGCGUAGUCGGCGAUGCAAGUCAGAAGUGAAAGCCCGGGGCUCAACUCCGUGACUGAUUUUG
This 276-nucleotide ribosomal RNA is filed under the name uncultured bacterium. RNAcentral's name for it is "partial 16S ribosomal RNA". It matches the Rfam family "Bacterial small subunit ribosomal RNA", at positions 335 to 629 of the family's 1533-position model. The record is from RNAcentral.